GGUUGGGUGGCUGAGAUAAUUAGGCGAUAGAUUGUAAAUCUAUAAACGGACAGGGUCCCCCAAUUA
RNAcentral lists this transfer RNA (66 nucleotides) under Caridina cf. nilotica HMG-2016. RNAcentral describes it as "tRNA-Tyr". Lineage: Eukaryota; Metazoa; Arthropoda; Malacostraca; Decapoda; Atyidae. The record is from RNAcentral.